AGAGUUUGAUCCUGGCUCAGGACGAACGCUGGCGGCGUGCUUAACACAUGCAAGUCGCACGGGACUGGGGGCAACUCCAGUUCAGUGGCGGACGGGUGCGUAACACGUAAGCAACAUGUCCAAGGGUGGGGGAUAGCCGGCCCAACGGCCGGGUAAUACCGCAUGCAGUCACCGCUGGCAUCUACGGUGACGAAAGCCGGGGCAACCUGGCGCCCAUGGAGUGGCUUGCGGCCUAUCAGCUAGUUGGUGGGGUAACGGCUCACCAAGGCGACGACGGGUAGCUGGUCUGAGAGGAUGACCAGCCACAUUGGGACUGAGACACGGCCCAGACUCCUACGGGAGGCAGCAGUGGGGAAUAUUGCGCAAUGGGCGAAAGCCUGACGCAGCGACGCCGCGUGUGGGAUGAAGGUCUUCGGAUCGUAAACCACUGUCAGAGGGGACGAAUGCCGGGCGUUAACUGCGACCCGGCUGACGUACCUCGAGAGCCCG
RNAcentral lists this ribosomal RNA (489 nucleotides) under uncultured bacterium. Its description in RNAcentral is "bacterial SSU rRNA". It matches the Rfam family "Bacterial small subunit ribosomal RNA", at positions 8 to 495 of the family's 1533-position model. The record is from RNAcentral.